UCCCUGGUGGCUCAGAUGGUAAAGCAUCUGCCUGCAAUGCAGGAGACCCUGGUUCGAUUGCUGGAUUAGGAA
Non-coding RNA from Bos taurus (domestic cattle), 72 nucleotides. NCBI's taxonomy places the organism in Eukaryota, Metazoa, Chordata, Mammalia, Artiodactyla, Bovidae. The record is from Rfam.